This 61-nucleotide transfer RNA is filed under the name Stomoxys calcitrans (stable fly). Its description in RNAcentral is "tRNA-Ile". Lineage: Eukaryota; Metazoa; Arthropoda; Insecta; Diptera; Muscidae. The record is from RNAcentral.
AAUUGCCUGAUAAAAGGACUACUUUGAUAGAGUAGAUCAUGUAAUUAUAUUACAUUCAUUA